Molecule: ribosomal RNA, 310 nt
Filed under: Escherichia coli
Lineage: Bacteria; Pseudomonadati; Pseudomonadota; Gammaproteobacteria; Enterobacterales; Enterobacteriaceae
Description: bacterial SSU rRNA
Rfam family: Bacterial small subunit ribosomal RNA
Source: RNAcentral
AAAUUGAAGAGUUUGAUCAUGGCUCAGAUUGAACGCUGGCGGCAGGCCUAACACAUGCAAGUCGAACGGUAACAGGAAGCAGCUUGCUGUUUUGCUGACGAGUGGCGGACGGGUGAGUAAUGUCUGGGAAACUGCCUGAUGGAGGGGGAUAACUACUGGAAACGGUAGCUAAUACCGCAUAAUGUCGCAAGACCAAAGAGGGGGACCUUCGGGCCUCUUGCCAUCGGAUGUGCCCAGAUGGGAUUAGCUUGUUGGUGGGGUAACGGCUCACCAAGGCGACGAUCCCUAGCUGGUCUGAGAGGAUGACCAG